Molecule: ribosomal RNA, 114 nt
Filed under: Clostridioides difficile
Lineage: Bacteria; Bacillati; Bacillota; Clostridia; Peptostreptococcales; Peptostreptococcaceae
Source: RNAcentral
GUGAAGGGACAGGGCAGAGAGGAUACACCUGUUCCCAUUCCGAACACAGAAGUUAAGCUCUCUAGCGCUGAUGGUACUUGGUGGGAAACUGCCUGGGAGAGUAGGACGUAGCCA